AUCCUUACCUGGCAGGGGAGAUUCCAUGAUCACGAAGGUGGCUUUCCCAGGGCGAGGCUUAUCCAUUGCACUCCGGAUGUGCUGACCCCUGCGAUUUCCCCAAAUGCGGGAAACUCGACUGCAUAAUUUGUGGUAGUGGGGGGCUGCGUUCGCGCUCUCCCCUG
The sequence is a small nuclear RNA, 164 nucleotides long. Its record names the gene U1. It matches the Rfam family "U1 spliceosomal RNA". From Rfam's summary of the family: U1 is a small nuclear RNA (snRNA) component of the spliceosome (involved in pre-mRNA splicing). The record is from Ensembl.